RNAcentral lists this long non-coding RNA (218 nucleotides) under Lathyrus oleraceus (garden pea). RNAcentral's name for it is "Pisum sativum (pea) long non-coding RNA (PSAT_LNC016189)". Lineage: Eukaryota; Viridiplantae; Streptophyta; Magnoliopsida; Fabales; Fabaceae. The record is from RNAcentral.
GUUAUGGUGUAUGUAAGGAUUAGGAUGGCAUGUAAUGGUGUAAUUUGCAGCUGUAUGUAACUCAUUACAUAAUGUGAACUCAUGCUUUUUGCAACUCAUGUAUAAUAACAUAAAACAAUAUUUAUUUUUUAUUCAAUUUGAAGUUUAUUUUUAUUUUUGAAUUUUAUUUCAUGGUCUUUGAGGGAUGAUUUUAUGUAUGUAAUGUUGCAACUGUUUUU